Molecule: long non-coding RNA, 238 nt
Organism: Amphimedon queenslandica
Lineage: Eukaryota; Metazoa; Porifera; Demospongiae; Haplosclerida; Niphatidae
Exons: 4
Source: RefSeq, a predicted model, not a curated record
CACAAAGAGAGUCGGAAAGAUUGUACAGUAUGAAAGAGAAGUGUAUCAGUUACUCGUACACAAAGAGAGAGUCAGAAAGAUUGUACAGUACAAAAAAGAAGUGAACCAGUUAUUCGUACAGAAAGAGAGAGUCAGAAAGAUUGUACAGUAUGAAAGAGAAGUGCACCAAUUACUCGUAUUCAAAGGGAGGGUCAGAAAGAUACAUUAGUACACUACAAAAGAGAAUUGACGUCAGAUU